Molecule: long non-coding RNA, 2803 nt
Organism: Homo sapiens (human)
Lineage: Eukaryota; Metazoa; Chordata; Mammalia; Primates; Hominidae
Gene: GSCAR
Product: glioma stem cell association long noncoding RNA
Source: Ensembl
GCUGAGAUUACAGGCGCGCGCCACCAUGCCCAGCUAAUUUGUGUAUUUUUAGUAGAGACGGGGUUUCACCAUGUUGGCAAGGCUUGAACUCCUGACCUCGUGAUCCGCCCGCCUUGGCCUUCCAAAGUGCUGGGAUUACAUGCGUGAGCCACCGCGCCCGGCCUCACAAAAGUGUUUUUGAAGGCUCCAUUCCCGAAGACUGAGUGAGGUAUUCGAUAUCCUCCUCCCUCAUUGAAAAGUUGUGUAACAGGAAUCUAAGUUCAUGCCGUUUGAUUCCCAAGACUUCUCCAAGCCGCACUGUAGAGCAGGAAAAUCGACUAAUAUUACUGCUCAGAUUAUCAUCAUAGUGGCCAUUUAAGAUGGAAUGCGACAUCAAGGGUAAACUAGGCAUUGAAAAAUUCACUUUCAGACCUCCCUUCCGUGCCUCACUCUCCGGCCAGUCCUUUUCCCCAUUCGCCAUUCAGGCACUAAAAUUUUGCAGUUUGAGAAAAAGAAAAGUGAGGAAAACACAAGAGAAAAAACGCGAGGCUUUUCGGGUUCUUUUUUAUAUAUAGAAUAGCUUAUAUAGUCCAAUUUUAUUUUCUAAAUCGCCCCACACAUAAAACGUAUAACUCUAGCCAAGAUGAAGGAAAAAAGAAAUGUAAUAGUUGGGAGCAGAGAGAAAUAGCCAGCACCACCCCCCAGCGCAGAGCCGGGGCGCGGGGCCUCGGGUCGCCCCCUCCGGCUCCUCUGACCCGAGACUCGCCAGGUCUUGGACAUCCUCAGCCUGCGACACCGUUCCCAGGACGGCUCAUCACCUAUUAUCUCGGACUCCAGAUUUUGUGUAAAAAGCGUGAGGCUGCUCCUCAUUGACACCCACUUAGAAGUUGGUUGAUGAAGACUGCAGUGAGCACUCUCAGCAAGGGUAAAACUGGCACAUUUGGGCCUGAAAUGGGGUCCUCGGGGCCUGGUAGGCUCAAGUAUGCCCUUGGUAAUUUCCAGCUUACAGAGAAAAGAAGAGCGUUCACUUUGUUUCUGCUGGCAGGGUGAAAAGGGGCAGCUACGUGGCCAAAGGUGAGUGCUCAAGUUUGCAAGGGCCCAAGAUAAUAGGGACUCUGAUUUGGAGACUGCUGGAACUUGAGCAGUUUGUUCUCCACUUCUGGUCCUCUUGCCUCAGGUGUGCGGUUGCCUGGCCAACAGGAGGUGGGUCCUUUCUGUGCGCCCCAAGUGGUGCCAAGAGUGAUUCGCGCCACUUCCCGGGGGCAUGGAGGUUAAGCAAGGCCGGUAGGAAUGUUAGUGAAUCCUUGCUUGGGGGUCCGCACGGUUUUAUUUGUUUUGUUUUUCUGACUAGAUUCCAAAGUUGGUGAAUUUUUCUGCUCUGGGGUUACGGGGAACUCCCGGGGCGCAGUGUAGGGAAGGUCAAGGAAAACUACUGCUCUCCCAUAGGCGGUUGCUGUGUGUGAGUCACGUCUGGGCGUUUUAAAAUUGAACAUUGUUUUGCUCACUGUUUAGUUUUCUGAAAAGACCGUUUCUUAAACUAUUACAAUUCAGUUAUCUCCAUUAAGAUUGUAUUUCUGUUGCAAUAUAUAUUUAAUGUUUGGGCUUUAUAAAUGCUGUUUCCCUUAAGCAGCUCUCAGUCCUUUCUUUGGACCACAAUAAAAUACAGCUCUUAGAAAUCUUUGGUUUCCCUGGGUUCAUUUUCAUUGCGUGUUCCUCAUCCUGCCAGGUUACACGUUUUCCCUCACUGCGAACUGUCAGCCUUAUUCCGAGUAUAGCCACCACUGACUUCUGACCCUGGACGGUGUCAUUCACCGGGAACUCUUAACGUCUCCGGCCGAGAAAGGAGGGGACGGUAGCUAACUCUUUCGGCGGAGCUGAACCCCUACCCCCUCCCUCCUGUGACCCGAGCCUACUGCGAGACCUGGACACCGCCAAGUGGGGCAACGUUUCGCUCUUACAGCAGCUUCCCGACCUCUGCUAACUCCCAGGCCAUUUCAGAAGGCGCAAAGGGGAGAAGGAAAAGUUCAGAGAGCAAACGUUGCUCUCUAGCCUCCCCCAACCUCCAGUUCCUCUCUUCCUUCCCCUGCUGUCCAAACUUCAUACUGUCCACCAGGGGAGACUGCCCCCCGACUCGGCUGUCCCUCACUAACGCGGUGGUCCCCGACCUAGGGUCGCAGAUGCACUUCCCGAGGCACAUGCGGGCGCAACAAGGUAACUGCGCUCCAGGCGUGGAACCCCAGUCCUGAGCGAUGUGAAACCAACCCCAAGCGGGCUGUGCUCACAGUUUGGGAAAAGGUAAUGUCUCUGAUCCCCCCAUAUCCACCCCUCCCCCAACCCUUGAGGACAGAUUCGGGUACCGCAAAACCGCCAGGCACAGAAGGGAGGAGAGCUGGGACGGACAGGCUACUCCCGGGGAGGGGAUCACCUCCACGUUCCCGCUCCAAGCGGCUGGUAGCUGCUAGUAAUUCAGACUUCUGGCCUCGGAGGAAGAGUGCCAGGGAAGAAAGAGACUAAGAAAUCCUCAAACGCCCGUAGAACAAGACCCGGGAGAAGUGCCCAAGUGGGCGCGGCCGUCGGCGAGGUCAGUUUAGCCUGUACUGGACCGUGGAACCCUGAGCGCUGAGGCUGUGGGGUCGCGGGAUUCUACUGGGCCUCGCCAGCUUCCACAGUCUGCUGCGGUCUGUGGAAUGGGGAAGGAUAAAAUACAGACUUUGGUUUAUUUUAAAAAAUGGUAUUCUGCCUGAACUAUCAGGUCCAUGGUUUGCUUUUGGCGCUUGCAGAAGCACCAGGACGAUCUUUCCAAAAAUUUCUGCAGUAGUUUAAC